RNAcentral lists this small nuclear RNA (104 nucleotides) under Jaculus jaculus (lesser Egyptian jerboa). Lineage: Eukaryota; Metazoa; Chordata; Mammalia; Rodentia; Dipodidae. The record is from RNAcentral.
GCAGGAAAAACAACUUGGAAGAAUUAAAAUCUGUAUACCAGAGGAGAUUAGCAUGGCCCCUGCACAAGGAUGGCACACAAAUUUGUGAAGUGUUCCAUGUUUAU